RNAcentral lists this ribosomal RNA (253 nucleotides) under uncultured bacterium. Its description in RNAcentral is "partial 16S ribosomal RNA". It matches the Rfam family "Bacterial small subunit ribosomal RNA", at positions 524 to 776 of the family's 1533-position model. The record is from RNAcentral.
UACGGGGGGGGCAAGCGUUGUUCGGAAUUACGGGGCGUAAAGGGUUCGUAGGUGGCCAACUAAGUCAGACGUGAAAUCCCUCAGCUUAACUGGGGAACUGCGUCUGAUACUGGUUGGCUUGAGUGCAGGAGAGGAACGCGGAAUUCCAGGUGUAGCGGUGAAAUGCGUAGAUAUCUGGAGGAACACCGGUGGCGAAGGCGGCGUUCUGGACUGCAACUGACACUGAUGAACGAAAGCCAGGGGAGCAAACGGG